GGGCGCGUAGCUCAGUGGAAGAGCACAUCCUUCACACGGAUGGGGUCACAAGUUCAAUCCUUGUCGCGCCCACCA
RNAcentral lists this transfer RNA (75 nucleotides) under Alphaproteobacteria bacterium. RNAcentral describes it as "tRNA-Val". It matches the Rfam family "tRNA". Rfam says of the family: Transfer RNA (tRNA) molecules are approximately 80 nucleotides in length. Lineage: Bacteria; Pseudomonadati; Pseudomonadota; Alphaproteobacteria. The record is from RNAcentral.